This 453-nucleotide ribosomal RNA is filed under the name uncultured Thauera sp. RNAcentral's name for it is "bacterial SSU rRNA". It matches the Rfam family "Bacterial small subunit ribosomal RNA", at positions 927 to 1382 of the family's 1533-position model. The record is from RNAcentral. Lineage: Bacteria; Pseudomonadati; Pseudomonadota; Betaproteobacteria; Rhodocyclales; Zoogloeaceae.
AAGCGGUGGAUGAUGUGGAUUAAUUCGAUGCAACGCGAAAACCUUACCUACCCUUGACAUGUCUGGAACCUUGGUGAGAGCCGAGGGUGCCUUCGGGAGCCAGAACACAGGUGCUGCAUGGCUGUCGUCAGCUCGUGUCGUGAGAUGUUGGGUUAAGUCCCGCAACGAGCGCAACCCUUGUCACUAGUUGCCAUCAUUUGGUUGGGCACUCUAGUGAGACUGCCGGUGUCAAACCGGAGGAAGGUGGGGAUGACGUCAAGUCCUCAUGGCCCUUAUAGGUGGGGCUACACACGUCAUACAAUGGCUGGUACAAAGGGUUGCCAACCCGCGAGGGGGAGCCAAUCCCAUAAAGCCAGUCGUAGUCCGGAUCGCAGUCUGCAACUCGACUGCGUGAAGUCGGAAUCGCUAGUAAUCGUGGAUCAGCAUGUCACGGUGAAUACGUUCCCGGGUCUU